Long non-coding RNA from Mesocricetus auratus (golden hamster), 993 nucleotides. RefSeq lists it as uncharacterized. The transcript is spliced from 3 exons. The record is from RefSeq and is a predicted model, not a curated record. Lineage: Eukaryota; Metazoa; Chordata; Mammalia; Rodentia; Cricetidae.
UACCGGUCAGACAUGGUGGAAAACCACCAAGGUCCAAAGCCUACUUUCCCUGGGCCCUCCGGCAAAGGAUGGGCCAAUAACAGGAAUUAGCAUUUAGACAAUAAGGAUGGACAGAAAACAGGAACUUGCAGUAAGCAGGCCUUACUGGCAGGAGGGGACAAGAGCAUCCACCGUUUCCUUUGCUUGGCUGAACUCCACUGGACGCAAGAAGACAGGGUGCUGACUGAUGCUGUUCAUGCCCUUGGAGAGCUGGCCGCAGAAGGAUGGGGAGAGGACCUGGGAGACCACAUGGAAGCUCUCCAUGUGUGACGGCUGUUCUCGUUGUCAACAUCUGGAAUUAACUCAAACCCACACAGCUGAGCUCACCUGUGAGGGAUUUUUUUUUCCUUAAUUAAAUCAUUUGAAAUAGGAAGAACUACUUCUAAUCCGGUGCUCUGAGUGCCAUUCCUUACAUUAGAGCCCAUUUCUUGGGAUUCCAGAGUACACUGAAGACCUGUGGAGACAUCCAUACUCAUGGACUGAACAACUAUUGGAUUCUUGGAACUUUCAUUGGUAAACAGCCAUUAUUGGAGAAGCUGGACCACAGUUUUGUAAGCCAUCCUAAUAAAUCCCCUUUAUCUAUCACACCUAUCUAUCUGUCUGUCUGUCUGUCUGUCCAUCUAUCAUUUGUUUUUUGGUUUUUUUCCCCUUUGGUCAGUUUAGUGGCUACACCUGAAUCUGCUGCUAUUUUAACUACUGUCUGUGGCUCCAUGAUCAGCAUCCCACUGCUCAGGCCACAGCCUGGUCAAAUUUCAGGUCCUGUUGGCCCCAGCUCUGCCAUUGCCACCAAAUGUAAUUUUUAACUAAGUCUCUAUUGUUGUAUUUAUCAAAAAAGACGCAGGAGUCAGAUGUUGGGUUGAAAACUUGCUAGCUCAGAAAAGUUGAGAAGCAACUAGCUGACUUUCCUUUUUGGUUGAUCACCCAGCAAGACAGUGUCCCUUUAGCUAUCCCACA